AGUGAACGCUAGCGGUAGGCCUAACACAUGCAAGUCGAACGGCAGCACAGUAAGAGCUUGCUCUUACGGGUGGCGAGUGGCGGACGGGUGAGGAAUACAUCGGAAUCUACUUUUUCGUGGGGGAUAACGUAGGGAAACUUACGCUAAUACCGCAUACGACCUACGGGUGAAAGCAGGGGAUCUUCGGACCUUGCGCGAUUGAAUGAGCCGAUGUCGGAUUAGCUAGUUGGCGGGGUAAAGGCCCACCAAGGCGACGAUCCGUAGCUGGUCUGAGAGGAUGAUCAGCCACACUGGAACUGAGACACGGUCCAGACUCCUACGGGAGGCAGCAGUGGGGAAUAUUGGACAAUGGGCGCAAGCCUGAUCCAGCCAUACCGCGUGGGUGAAGAAGGCCUUCGGGUUGUAAAGCCCUUUUGUUGGGAAAGAAAAGCAGCAGGUUAAUACCCCGCUGUUCUGACGGUACCCAAAGAAUAAGCACCGGCUAACUUCG
Molecule: ribosomal RNA, 490 nt
Filed under: uncultured bacterium
Lineage: Bacteria
Description: partial 16S ribosomal RNA
Rfam family: Bacterial small subunit ribosomal RNA
Source: RNAcentral